RNAcentral lists this non-coding RNA (2059 nucleotides) under Pongo abelii (Sumatran orangutan). The record is from RNAcentral. Lineage: Eukaryota; Metazoa; Chordata; Mammalia; Primates; Hominidae.
UUGUAUACAACCACGCCCGGCAGGAUGACCACCAGAUGACCGGCCGCAGCAGUGCCUCCACUCAGUCCCAGUUGGGCAAAGUUUCACUCCACUGCGGCGACGUGAACAAGAAUCACGGCUUCCUUAUCUAUCUGGCCAAAUGAAUACAUGCAGGAGGUGAAAUAUGGAGAAAGAACAAAGGGACUAAUUCCACUUGUGAGAGAUGAAGGAACAGGAGCACUCUCAUGUUUCUUAAGUAUGUUUUGUGACCCAGAAUGUGAUCCUGGUAAACAUUCCAUUUGAGAAGAAUGUGUAUUCUGCUGUUGGAAGCUGCGUUGUCAUUGAUGAAGGAAUAUUUCGAAGUGCUGAACAAUUCUUGAUAAAGUUCCGAAACAAACAAAGCACAAUCUUCCCUCGAUUUACAUGGGAGUUGCAUUCCUGGAAAAUUCAGUAUAUUUUAAAACCAUGCAAAAUAUCCUUUUAAAAAAAUAUGUAACAUGGAGUUUAGGACCAAGGCUCAGAAUAUUUUUAAUCCAUGGUUGGGUGCGGAACCUGCAGAUACAGAGGACUGACUAUAAUUAUCAAGAAUCAGAGAAGCUCUACUACCCAGAAGAGUUGGAAUGGGCCUUGAAAUGUAACCCAAGCAUCUUAUUAUGUAGGAGGCUCAUGUGGUCCCUGUUUGUCAUCCAGUCAAUACAGCCAUCAGCUUUUGGCCCCAGACACCUUUCCUCUGCACCGUGGCACAGAAGAGCAGACUGCUUUGGAGGGCAGCUUCCUGGGAGCUCCAGGGACUCUGGCCAGGCGGCCACUGCCACUGACCUCUUCCUUGGCUCACUGAGCCCCUGCCUGCAGCUCUCGUGUUUCCCCUGUGCUGCAGUGGACGCUUAUCUUCCCCCGAUGGCACAUUUCUUUGUCACUGAUAGGACCCUCACUGGCAGUCGGAGGACAUCAAGCCCUAGUACAGGAAGGGACAUUUUCACACUAAUCUGUGCCAGCUGGAGCAGUCCUGCCAUCUGAACAUCAUAUUUUGGAACACUGAGAAGCUAGGAUGCAGUUAACAGGCAGAUGAGGAUUUUAAAUGCUUCGCCUACAACCUCAAUUGUUGUGGAGCCAAAGAUGUAACAGCUUUGAAGAAUAGAAGAAUUACUCUAUAUUUGUCAGGAUCUACGUGGCAAACAAGCGCCACUUGGCUUACAUUACUUGCCUGGCUUGGAUCCCAUGGAAUGCAGGAGCAUUGGAACCAAGAGGAAAAAAAUUAAAGUGCUUUGGGACAGUGAGCCAAACUCUUACAUAGUAUUUGAAAUGGUGUGGUAAACAUGAAAUUAUUUUAGGCUCAAGAUUGGUGCUAGUUUUUUUACCCUCUUUUUGAAAAAAUAAUAAAAUGCACAUAAAGGGCCCUGCCAGAGGGUUAGCUCAUAAAAUCUGCCAAUCAUUAGAUGUGCUAAUUGGUGUAGCAAUCCAGUGGUGGCCUGGAUUAGGACUCAAAAACUGACCCUUACCACCCUUGGUGUCCUGCAGCAAAGAGAGCCUAAAUCAAAAAGACUGAUGGAAGUACAUCAAAUUACGAAUUUCUCUAUCCCUGAAAAAUGACUGCAGUUUCUGUUUCUCCAUCACUCCAGAAAUACUCAAAAACAGCAAAAAUUAAAUACAUAUGAAGUGAACACAAAAGACCUCCACAGAAAAACCAGUGGCUCAUCUGUUGACGCUAUUGCUCAUUGCUCGGCUGGCCAGUCAUCUGGGCUGUUUUGACUUUGGGCCAGUGCUUCAAAAUCAGCAACCUUUCAGCCAAAAGACUGUGGAAUGCAGCCAAGACCACCUAUGGAAAGUGAAUUAUAGCAUCUUUAAUUUACUACCUUGGGCUAUGAUCUCAUAAACCCAGCAUGGAGGGCGCACCAGUUCUUGUGUGGGAAAUCUCUCAGAGCCCCCGUGGAGGCCCCCAAAGUGACUCUGGCAAAGCUGUAGGGGUGGAGGUGACAAAAAAGGGGACACCUGGUUCUCCUUCUUAAAUAAUCUCACCAUGGGCACACAUUUAUAUUGGAAUUUUAGGGUCAGAAAAUACCAAAAUUAAAUCUUCUAGAAG